Molecule: transfer RNA, 76 nt
Filed under: Candidatus Peregrinibacteria bacterium
Lineage: Bacteria; Candidatus Peregrinibacteriota
Description: tRNA-Thr
Rfam family: tRNA
About the family: Transfer RNA (tRNA) molecules are approximately 80 nucleotides in length. Their secondary structure includes four short double-helical elements and three loops (D, anti-codon, and T loops). Further hydrogen bonds mediate the characteristic L-shaped molecular structure. tRNAs have two regions of fundamental functional importance: the anti-codon, which is responsible for specific mRNA codon recognition, and the 3' end, to which the tRNAs corresponding amino acid is attached (by aminoacyl-tRNA synthetases). tRNAs cope with the degeneracy of the genetic code in two manners: having more than one tRNA (with a specific anti-codon) for a particular amino acid; and 'wobble' base-pairing, i.e. permitting non-standard base-pairing at the 3rd anti-codon position.
Source: RNAcentral
GCCACAAUAGCUCAGUUGGUAGAGCCACCGUCUUGUAAGCGGUAGGUCGUCGGUUCGAGUCCGACUUGUGGCUCCA